Oreochromis aureus is the source of this 529-nucleotide long non-coding RNA. RefSeq lists it as uncharacterized. The transcript has 3 exons. NCBI's taxonomy places the organism in Eukaryota, Metazoa, Chordata, Actinopteri, Cichliformes, Cichlidae. The record is from RefSeq and is a predicted model, not a curated record.
AGGAGGCCCAAGGAAGCUGAGAGCUGAAGGAGAACACGAGGUAGAGCAAAGCCCAGGACAGAAUAAUGAUGUAGGUCAUACAGUUAUAGAAGAGGAUUAGCUGUCCACCAAAGCCAAUCCCUGAAAGGCAUUUACAGAUGCCUGAACAGCUUACCUUGUGCUAGUGGGCAAAGCUUCCUCCAGCAGUAAACAAGCUGCCUGAGGACUGGAUACUAUUGAAUUCAAUGGAGCAGAGUCUCUACUUUGGAUGCUGGCAUCAGAUUUGAGGGAAUCAAGGUGCUGCAAAAUCCAAAAUACUUCAAAUAGAUGGAGAGCCCUGCUUGGCCUCACCUACAGAUGUCACCUCAAGUGAUAAAAUUAACAUUUCCCAGAGUACCAGUGGAGUGUGAAGUCACACUUUCAGUCUCAUUUCAGAGACUGUGAACUAGCAAUUUAUUUUGCUCAUGCUUUGCACAAUCAAUAUAAUCCUACAAGAUUAACACACAUUUUGGUUAGUUAAUGUAAAAUAAAUAUAUUAAAUGAAUUAAAC